RNAcentral lists this non-coding RNA (245 nucleotides) under Paenibacillus mucilaginosus. Its description in RNAcentral is "T-box sequence". It matches the Rfam family "T-box leader". Rfam says of the family: Uncharged tRNA acts as the effector for transcription antitermination of genes in the T-box leader family. T-boxes are found upstream of many aminoacyl-tRNA synthetase genes and some amino acid biosynthetic genes usually in Gram-positive bacteria. The record is from RNAcentral. Lineage: Bacteria; Bacillati; Bacillota; Bacilli; Caryophanales; Paenibacillaceae.
UAACAUGCUAUGACGGAGCCAAGCAUAGUCCGAAACGUUCAGAGAGCCGGUGGUCGGUGCGAACCGGGUCGUUCUCGAUAUGCGGAGCACUCCUGAGUUGCUGAGGCGAACUUUACAGUAGUCCCAGCCGGCCGGAAGCCGUUACCCUUCCAGGUCUGUCCAUCAGGCAGACCCUUGAGGCUGUCCGCGCGAGCGUGCAGCGAAUUAGGGUGGUACCACGAGAUCAGUAACUCCUCGUCCCUUGU